Molecule: non-coding RNA, 29 nt
Filed under: Mus musculus (house mouse)
Lineage: Eukaryota; Metazoa; Chordata; Mammalia; Rodentia; Muridae
Source: RNAcentral
UCUGCAUCUUGUCAUAUUCUGUGGUUCCA